GACGUAGGGCGCGAGCGUUGUCCGGAUUUAUUGGGCGUAAAGAGCUCGUAGGCGGCUUGUUGCGUCGACUGUGAAAACCCGCGGCUUAACCGCGGGCUUGCAGUUGAUACGGGCAGGCUAGAGUUCGGUAGGGGAGACUGGAAUUCCUGGUGUAGCGGUGAAAUGCGCAGAUAUCAGGAGGAACACCGGUGGCGAAGGCGGGUCUCUGGGCCGAUACUGACGCUGAGGAGCGAAAGCCAGGGGAGCGAACGGG
Molecule: ribosomal RNA, 253 nt
Filed under: uncultured bacterium
Lineage: Bacteria
Description: partial 16S ribosomal RNA
Rfam family: Bacterial small subunit ribosomal RNA
Source: RNAcentral